UCCCUAAGUAUCAAUAAAAAUACUCCUCUCUCUACUUCUCUCUCUAUUGUUCUUGUUCUUAUAUUAUUUCAUAACACGUUAUCAGCACGAGACUCUACCGUAUCAAGAAUCGAUUCUCAAGAAAAACUAAGGUAUUUCUCUCUUGCUAAUUUGAUUUUCGAUUAUGUCUGACAUUACGAAAAGAAAGUUCGUUGCCCUUGAAAUUUCGGGCAAGAACUAUAUGACAUGGGUGUUGGAUGCUGAAANNN
RNAcentral lists this long non-coding RNA (248 nucleotides) under Nicotiana benthamiana. Its description in RNAcentral is "long non-coding RNA (NBEN_LNC010404)". The record is from RNAcentral. Lineage: Eukaryota; Viridiplantae; Streptophyta; Magnoliopsida; Solanales; Solanaceae.